CCACAAGCGUGUUCUCAGGAGUGCUCAGCCCCAGGAAGCACUGUCCAGGGCAUCUCCCGCAGGGGACACGGGCCCUUGGAGCGAGCCCCAGCCUCUGGAAGCUCACGGGAAGUCGAUCUAGUGGCAUCCUCCAUUUUGCUGACCUGUCCUUCCACCUCUCUUCCCCCAUGCUGUCCUCGGCCGGGGGCACAGGCUCUGGACAGCAGCCUGGGGUGUGUGCUGGCCAUGCACUGAUGGCCGAGCUCCCUGCAGGCCUUUGGCCGGCCGGUGGCCCUUGGGACAGGCCCGCUUGGGCUCGCUCUGGCUGUCCCGGGUGCUGACGGUAGGUAAAGAGAGCAGACACGUUGGGCGGGGCAGGACGGGUCACAUUUAUUGUCACAGGCCCUUCAGGAGAGCUCGGCAGAGCGCUGUGUGCGAGGUGCUGUCACACUUUCGGGACUCUGAGUAGCCUGGCGAGGCCCAGCCCUUCUAAGAGGCUCCACAGCUCAGCCUGAUCUUGUGCCAGCGUGUUGCCCGCCAGCCGGCGGAUGAGGUCAUUGUCCUUCAAGACCUGGCGAGCCCAUCCCUAAAGCCAGGCCUUCAUGACGGGGCGCCGAGAGCCAGGUGGGCCACCAGAAGGGCCUGAGGACCCUGGGGAUCGUCGGGGGGGCAGAAGUCUGCUGGGCGCCCCCACCCUGGAGCUGGGAGAAGGUGCUGCCCCCCUUGUCUGCCACUUCAGCUUGUGUGACCUUGAAGGGUCCAACUCCCAGACCCUCCCUGGACAUGGUUUGUGGGGAGGUGGUGAUGCAGGGGACCUUGAAACCUCCAGGGCUGAAGCCUGGGAGCUCAAGAGCAGAAAGGAGAGCUGGGUGGCCGAGCUGACCUCUCCGCCCCGGGCCUCGCUGCCCUUCUUGGGGUCUCAGAGUGCCCGGCUGGCGCCUGUAGGGCGGGGUGUCCGCAUUCUCUUCCUCUUUGGGAAGAGGACAGGGAAACCAACACCGGGCCUGAAAUAGCCGCUGUCCGGUGGCCCGCGUGCCGGCGUAGACGGCCGCGCUGAUUGGCCUCCCCUUGGUGGGCUUGGGUGCCCUACCGUGAACAGGCCCAAAAAAGGCCGACGGCCCCUCCGAGCGCCCUGUGCCCGGGCUGAGCAGGAGGCUGGCGGUGGGCCACGGCCAGGAUCGCUGCGGCAGCUGGGGCUGCCACUCACUGCCAGCGGAGACAGGAGGGGACAGCUGGUAAGAAGGGCCUGAGGACGUCCCCUGGUGAGGGCAGGACUUGAGAUGGGGAAGAGGAUGCCAGAGCCCACACCUAGGCCGCUGGCCCCCUCCUGGCCCCCGCCGUCAGAUGAAAGCUGGGGUGGUCCCAGCUGGGCCCAGGGGUGAGCCUGGCCCCCUUGGCUUAGCACGGGGAGGGGCCCCGGGCUCCUCAGAGCAAAGUCGUUGGGAAUUCAUGGGCAAGGGAGCGCCUCAGCUGCCCGGCACCCCAGCGCCCCUCUCAGACCCGCACACAUUCUGUGUGCAGCACCACAGUGACAACCCUGGUCUGAAUCCCCAACCUCUUCCCCUCCCAGGCCUGAAAGCUGAAGGCCAGUGGGCAGGUGCGGGGCAGUGGGGAGCCUGGAAAGCUGGGCUGAGCGAGGAAACCCAAGCAGACUGCCGCCCCACCGUUCCCUCUUGCCGUCCCGUCAGCAGAGCAUGCCUCUUGGGGUCUUGGAGUGCCAGUCUCAGCUGUCCCUGAUGCUCACAUUCCCGGCCUCUUUGGGAAGAGGAGGCGUGAGCCUAGAGGCUGGAAAUAGCUGUGCCCUGAAGUGGCCCUCAGGGAUACCUGGGCGGUCAGGGGGCUGGCUGCCCCCAUCACGAGGCCCUCCAGAAACACCCUCCCGCCCUCUGCCUCUGCCUGUCCCUCGGUCCCCUUCUUGCCCUGCCGAGGGUCUGUGGGCAGGCAGAGGCGGAGUCCCCAGCUAGAGCCCCGGGUGAGGGUCCUGCCUCCUUACUCCUUGCAGAUGGUGGGGGCCUCAUGGGACACGGGGGCUGCUGCCUGGGCUGGGCAGGCUGGGCUGGGGGCUGGAGGUGGGAGCAAGGAGGGUGGCCAGGGGAGAGCCCAGCAUGAGGGGCCACAAGGAGCAGCAACAUCCAAUGGGAAGAACGUGGCGCCGCGGGCGUCCUCCGGCAGGGGUGGCGGCCCCCUGCCAUUUUUUGCACGUGAUGUCUCUCUCCUAGAGGCCCUUGGCCUCGCAAGCUCUCACUUGCUAAAGUUUCUCACUUUCCACUUCUUCCCGUGUUUGCUUUCCUUGGUCAGAGACGAGUGAGUGGCCAGGGAGCCCGCUCCGUGCAACUUGGCUCCUUCCGAAAGGAACACUUGGCAGGUCCGUGCUGGGAGCCGUCCUGCCCGGCCUCCCCCUCACCCCGGCCCACCCCCGCCCCAGUGUUGGCACCCAGUGGGCAGCAGCUUGAGGGGCCCCUGACUGUCAUGGCUGCGGGGGGCCAGGGCCCUGGAGGCACCUGCCUGUUUUCCUGGAAAAGAAACCAAAACAGACAUCCUCUCCGGGAGAAGACACAAGAACAAGGUGGUUUUGCCCUGGGAGCUUUGCUGUGUGCUGUCCUCAUUAGCUCUGUGGUCUCCCUCUCUGGGCCUCGAUUUCCCCAUCUGUCAAGAGGCCGAGUGGGGGAGGAACUCAGGAAGCUCCGAAGACGCACCCCACAGACGCACAGAUGGAGUGUGGGUGAGCCGUGGGGCGGCAGGCAUGCACAGGAUGGGCUGGACCAGUUGUCCACAGACAGGCCGAGGCUUUCUGCCCGCACAGCCCGCCGGAGCCUCCACUCCGGUAGGCAUCCCCGGGGUAAGAUGGUCUGCAAGAGCAGGGCCGGCAGACCCAUAGUCCCCCAUGGGCAUGAGCAGAGCAGGCAGGGGCUCAGCGCCCCAGGACGCUGCUGCCCUCUUGGUCAGGCCUCUAAAAUGUGCCUGUGGCUGAAGAGGGGGAGUCUGGGGAGGCAGAGCUCCUCGGGGAAAGAAGCCUCCAGGGGCCUCCACCCUCGCUGGCCCGUGCACACCCGGUGCCCAGGAGGACCCAGUAACAGGCAACGGG
This 3064-nucleotide long non-coding RNA is filed under the name Equus caballus (horse). RNAcentral describes it as "lncRNA (ENSECAG00000052543.1)". The record is from RNAcentral. Lineage: Eukaryota; Metazoa; Chordata; Mammalia; Perissodactyla; Equidae.